Daldinia caldariorum is the source of this 98-nucleotide non-coding RNA. Lineage: Eukaryota; Fungi; Ascomycota; Sordariomycetes; Xylariales; Hypoxylaceae. The record is from the annotation of a RefSeq genome assembly.
GGUCCCAUAGCUCAGUUUGGUUCAGAGCGUCGUACUAAUGUUUCGUUUCGAAAUAUCUAGUAAUGCGAAGGUCGGCAGUUCGAGCCUGUCUGGGACCA